RNAcentral lists this ribosomal RNA (506 nucleotides) under uncultured bacterium. Its description in RNAcentral is "partial 16S ribosomal RNA". It matches the Rfam family "Bacterial small subunit ribosomal RNA", at positions 29 to 523 of the family's 1533-position model. The record is from RNAcentral.
AUUGAACGCUGGCGGCAGGCCUAACACAUGCAAGUCGGACGGUAGCACAGAGGAGCUUGCUCCUCGGGUGACGAGUGGCGGACGGGUGAGUAAUGUCUGGGGAUCUGCCCGAUAGAGGGGGAUAACCACUGGAAACGGUGGCUAAUACCGCAUAACGUCGCAAGACCAAAGAGGGGGACCUUCGGGCCUCUCACUAUCGGAUGAACCCAGAUGGGAUUAGCUAGUAGGCGGGGUAAUGGCCCACCUAGGCGACGAUCCCUAGCUGGUCUGAGAGGAUGACCAGCCACACUGGAACUGAGACACGGUCCAGACUCCUACGGGAGGCAGCAGUGGGGAAUAUUGCACAAUGGGCGCAAGCCUGAUGCAGCCAUGCCGCGUGUAUGAAGAAGGCCUUCGGGUUGUAAAGUACUUUCAGCGGGGAGGAAGGCGAUGUGGUUAAUAACCGCGUCGAUUGACGCUACCCGCAGAAGAAGCACCGGCUAACUCCGUGCCAGCAGCCGCGGUAA